GAUGAACGCUGGCGGCGUGCCUAAUACAUGCAAGUCGAGCGAACGGACGAGAAGCUUGCUUCUCUGAUGUUAGCGGCGGACGGGUGAGUAACACGUGGAUAACCUACCUAUAAGACUGGGAUAACUUCGGGACACCGGAGCUUAUACCGUAUGAUCUUUUGAACCGUAUGGUUCAAAGGUGAAAUACGGUCUUUCUGUCCCUUCUCGAUGGAUCCGCGCUGCAUUAGCUAGUUGGGAAGGUAACGGCUUACCAAGGCAACGAUGCAUAGCCGACCUGAGAGGGUGAUAGGCCACACUGGAACUGGGACACGGUCAAGACACCUACGGGAGGCAGCAGUAGGGAAUCGUCCGCAAAGGGCGAAAGCCUGACGGAGCAACGCCGCGUGAGUGAUGAAGGUCUUCGGAUCGUAAAACUCUGUUAUUAGGGAAGAACAGAUGUGUAAGUAACUGUGCACAUCGUGACGGUACCUAAUCAGAAAGCCACGGCUAACUACGUG
RNAcentral lists this ribosomal RNA (497 nucleotides) under uncultured bacterium. Its description in RNAcentral is "partial 16S ribosomal RNA". It matches the Rfam family "Bacterial small subunit ribosomal RNA", at positions 28 to 507 of the family's 1533-position model. The record is from RNAcentral.